This 237-nucleotide long non-coding RNA is filed under the name Marmota marmota marmota (Alpine marmot). RNAcentral describes it as "lncRNA (ENSMMMG00000007410.1)". Lineage: Eukaryota; Metazoa; Chordata; Mammalia; Rodentia; Sciuridae. The record is from RNAcentral.
UUAAAGUUAAAUGUCCUGAAAUAAUUAUGUUUUUCAGAAAAAAUGAGCAUGCUUGGUUGAUUCUCUCCUUUUCCUGAGGUGUAUCAAAAUCCUGAUCUUCUUGAAGGUAAGAAAUAAGGUCCUGACUCUUCCAUGGUUAAAUUUUCCAUUCUGAAGAAACAAGGACAUUUUCCCUGAAGAAUGUAAAGAAGCUUGGUGUGAACUGACUCAAUAAAAUGAAGCCUAGGAUAAAAGUCA